CAAACUAAAACCCUAAACCAAAACACGCCUAGAUGGCUUCCUUCUCCUACAAUCUUCUUUCCUUAUGGCAACGUGAGUUACAAUCUAUACCCCUAACUCUUUGCCGUGGUAGCACGUGCCGGCAGAGGCAGUGGCGGAUCGCCGUUUUCCUCCGCCCUACGCAGCUUCUUCUCUUAUCGGAUCUUCGUCUCCGCUAUGUUUACUCUUCUCUUCUUCGCAACUGCUUCCGUACUCUUCUCAUCGCAUCCUGCACAUUUGUCUGAUGAUACUUCGGGGAAUGAAAUAGAAAGUUGCCUCAAGAGAAGCUUGAGAAAAGCUUCACCGGAAAAUGAGUGACCUUCAAGAGAAGCUUAAUGAAAAGCUUUCAAUUAUUUGAUUCUAUUAACUACGUAUUGCCAUCAUCUAAUUCAUGAUUUAAAUGGCUGUUGAAUGGUUUAGAAAAAGUGACAACAGGUCCCAACAUUGCUGAUGCUAUUGUAGGAAGAAUUGCUAAGGGAACCAAAGUUCUUUUAGGUGGAUAUGAUAAAAUAUUUAGAACAACAUUCCAAUUUCCAAACCAUUCCUGAGGAAGCACUUCUGGGGAAUUCGAUCACUGCUAAUGCAUCCGACCAACUUCCUUUCACUCCUCAAGACCUAUAGAGCUUCUUUUCACUCCUCAAGACCUAUAGUCUCGAUCAUGGUCUCAAUUUACGAAAACUGGAAGCAUUCACGCCCAAGGGAUAACUUAUUUAAUGUAGUUGAAGUCUUCACUAAUUCAUCUAAGUUUAAAAUGUUCACACUUGUGCACUUGCUAAAGAAGUGGAUGUUAAUAGUUCAACUCACCUAGCGGGUCAGAUUGCAUCUGGUAGCAACAAAUUAGAGGCAGGUCCAAUCUGGGCAAAUUGUUUUUGCUAAACUCGCUUACCGGACAAUGUUGUGUUGUACAAACAUCAAACAAGCUUGGUCUCACUCAGAACCGUAAAGGGAAUUUGAUAGACGUAGAAGAUGUUGCCAGUGCUAAUGAAUUUGAACGCAAAGAUCACUCUGAUUGUUCAGUCUAAAGGGAAAUCACUAUUUAUUCAAAAAUGAGACAGUUGAAGGGUGUAAUAUGGAGUCCAGAUGAUUCAUUAUUUGGUAUCUGGAGUUGAUUACGAGGCUCCUUAGGCUCUGCAUUGGACGAGGGAGACGAAGUUGCUAAAUGGCUCACUUACUUCCGAAGGGAAACCAAGCCACUUAGUAAGCUUUAAUGAAGAUCUUGAAAAGAGAAGAGAAAUAUAAAGAGAACGUUCCGGGCUAUGACCUCCGACGACGAUAAAGCAGGUCAUCACCUAAGUUCAGCACAUAAGCAGGGUUUGUUGUGUUAAGGGAUGGCCAAAGAAGGGAUUACAUCAUCAUCCCAGCAUCAGCAACUUUCUUUCUUUUCAAAACUGCAGCAUACCAGUAGUAUAAUAAGACUAAACAUCCACAACUUUUGUACGAAGCUAAGUUGUACAAUGCAGAUUUAUAUGUUUAUCUUUUAUUUCACUCUGAAUGAUAUGAUUUGUAAUGUUUUAUUUUCACUUGUAGGUGGUAUACCUUCCAUAAAAUGGUCCGGUGUAGAUGGAGAGGAUAUGUUUUAAUUAUUGAUUUGCUAGGACCGAGUCUUGAGGACCUGUUUGUGUAUUGUGGGAGGAACUUUCAAUUGAAAACAGUCUUGAUGUUGGCUGAUUAAAUGGUAUCAAUUUCUCCUGAGGUUAUAUCAAAGACCAAAUGCAGAGAAAUCAUGAAAUCCAUCAGCUCUCUGUAUCGGGCUUCACACCUCGGAAAUUUGCUGUUAGCUUAAGAUGGAUAGAAGAGUGCGUUUGCUGAGGGUCUAUUGCCCUUUGAGUCUAAAGAGUUCGCCGUUAAAAUCACUGAGCAGGAUGGGCGGGAACGUGACUUCAGGGUUACAAUCAAGUUUGCUGCCAAAAAAGAUCUUCACUACCUGAAGCAGUUCUUGAGUGGCAGACAACAUGAUAGUCCUCAAGAAACAAUUUAAGCUCUUGAUGUGUUUAAGGGAAUGGGCCUCAUCAGAGUUUGCUUUAUGAAGCAAAAGGUCUCCAGAAACAAGGUUUAAAGGCUUAUAAACAUGCUUUAGACGUGGAGCCGGCCCAUGUGAAGAGUUUUGUUUCCAUAGCGUGUGUGUCCAGGAAGCUUAGUGGAUUUGUGGCCCGAUGCUUUCUGAACGAGGCGUACGGGUCGGUGACAUGAGACAUACGAUAUGCUCCAGUUGGCAGUUUCACAAGAUCCCGCUACCAUGUACUACGGAGGCUAUGCCAGAUAUGGUGUAUACUCUCAAGUCCAACUGCAGCUGCACUGCCUCAACCUCAACCUCAGCAGCAUCAGUUGUUAAAAUGGUGAUGUUGCUGGGCGGUCUGUUUUGAAGUCAAGACCAGUUGAGAGCUGUAUACAUAAUGUGCUGAAGCAAGACUCCUUAAAUGACCAUUAUACCCCUCAAAGGCAUAAAACCGUUACUUUGGGUCGUCACUUCAGUGGUUGCAAGGCUGCAGUUAGGCCGAGCUACAUCUGUUCCUGGAUCUGGCUGUAUAUGGCAGCUGUUGGUUCUAAACUUGCUAAUAAAAGGUUUACUGGGUCAUGUUUGGAAGAGAGUUGGUAUAGGCCUGCUUCUGCUAAAGAUGGGUAUGAUUCUCUGUCGUCUGUAUGGGAUGAACAAGUGCAGCCGGUUUCAGUUUAUGUGGCAGUGUUUUUAUACAGUCCAUACUGCUAGCUGUUGGACCAGGAACUGCAAUUUGACAGGAUUUACAAAUUAUAUCAGUUUGAUAGUUUGAUGACAAAAAGGGUGAUACAUAAGGUAGCAAAAAUAGAUGAUUGGGAGAAUUUGCAAAAAGCUAAAGUAGAAGCCGAUAUACGGAAGACCCAUCAUCAAGCUGCUGCGGGAUCUAAUAGCAUAUCUUGGUAUAGGUACCAGUAAGACUUCUAAUUCAGGUCCCAAGAAGAUGAUUGAUUCAGGAAGUCGUGUAUUGAGUCAGAGAAACUGAAAGCAAAGCCAAACAAAGUGAAACCAUGGUUUAGGAAGUAUUUAUGACGUUAAAAGCUGUGUAUGUGUAUGUAUCUGAUGUGAUUUAAGCCCAUUGGGUUAUAUAUAAUUGUGGAAUAUGUAUUGAGAUUAUUAAUUAAAUGUU
Helianthus annuus (common sunflower) is the source of this 3140-nucleotide long non-coding RNA. RefSeq lists it as uncharacterized. The transcript has 17 exons. The record is from RefSeq and is a predicted model, not a curated record. Lineage: Eukaryota; Viridiplantae; Streptophyta; Magnoliopsida; Asterales; Asteraceae.